Actinobacteria bacterium OK006 is the source of this 78-nucleotide non-coding RNA. The record is from Rfam. NCBI's taxonomy places the organism in Bacteria, Bacillati, Actinomycetota, Actinomycetes.
UUGAGCCGUGUGCUCGGACGACGGGCACGCACGGUUCUGAGGGGGCGGGAGCACAGCAAUGUGUUCCCGCUACCCGAC